CCAUUUUUAGAAAUAGUUUCUCUAUUUUUAGAAUUAGAGAAACUCAUUGGAUUUUUCCUUUCUUGUAAUGUCAGCUAUAUAUUUAAGAUGAUACGCCAUAUUUUAUUUAAUAUUCUUAGACUUACUGUCACAUGGUGAAGAGUUAUCCUUUAAAAACUCAUAACUGCAUAAGUCAAAGCAUGUGUACUGCUUUAAGGAAUAAACCUCAGAUAUUCUAAAGGCUGGAACUGGUGUUUCUGGGAAACAGACCUUCUCUUUACCUAAUCUCAGAUGAAAUACUCAAAAGUGUGUUUGGUGUUGUUUUGACAAGAUUUUGUACUUGGAGACAAGACAUAGUUAGUAUAGAAAGAAUAUCCAAGUGGUAGAGAAAACUCAGGAUAGCAUCAAGACCUACUGAGCUCAGCAAAGGGAGCUUCUUAUGCCUGGUGGAGCCCCAUUCAACAGCAGAGAUCCAAAAAUCUUACAAGACAAACAUACGCAAGACAAGCGAGCUGCUCAAGGAAGGAGUUGGCCAUGGUGCCUGCAGUAUUAGUCAGCCAUUACGCCCUCACGUACAGACUGUACGUAACUCAAGCACCUGCUCUCCUGUUGGCUUCCGCAGCAUUACAACACAAGCUCCAGAACACCCUGAGUUUCAGAACGGCGACAUAUGAUGCCAUGAUCUGGCUGCUGGAAAUAUCAUCUCUUACUUGAAAUGGCAGCAAAUGAUCUUUUGUUUUUCCUCCCAACCAAAAUCUCAUUAAGAUUGGUCUGCUGCUGCCCUGGGAUGUGUGGGUCUUAUGCCUCCCAUUCCCGGCACUGUUGGGAGGAACUCGUUACUAUGAGGCUCUUCAAAAUGUAAAGUGGUAAAAGAA
Molecule: long non-coding RNA, 854 nt
Organism: Canis lupus familiaris (dog)
Lineage: Eukaryota; Metazoa; Chordata; Mammalia; Carnivora; Canidae
Exons: 3
Source: RefSeq, a predicted model, not a curated record